RNAcentral lists this transfer RNA (73 nucleotides) under Deltaproteobacteria bacterium. RNAcentral describes it as "tRNA-Ala". It matches the Rfam family "tRNA". Rfam says of the family: Transfer RNA (tRNA) molecules are approximately 80 nucleotides in length. Their secondary structure includes four short double-helical elements and three loops (D, anti-codon, and T loops). Further hydrogen bonds mediate the characteristic L-shaped molecular structure. tRNAs have two regions of fundamental functional importance: the anti-codon, which is responsible for specific mRNA codon recognition, and the 3' end, to which the tRNAs corresponding amino acid is attached (by aminoacyl-tRNA synthetases). tRNAs cope with the degeneracy of the genetic code in two manners: having more than one tRNA (with a specific anti-codon) for a particular amino acid; and 'wobble' base-pairing, i.e. permitting non-standard base-pairing at the 3rd anti-codon position. Lineage: Bacteria; Pseudomonadati; Myxococcota; Myxococcia. The record is from RNAcentral.
GCCCCGGUAGCUCAGUGGAUAGAGCGUCCCUUUCGCAAGGGGAGUGUCCAGGGUUCGAAUCCCUGCCGGGGCA